Molecule: RNase P RNA, 356 nt
Filed under: Eggerthellaceae bacterium
Lineage: Bacteria; Bacillati; Actinomycetota; Coriobacteriia; Eggerthellales; Eggerthellaceae
Also listed under: 1 other name
Description: RNase P RNA component class A
Rfam family: Bacterial RNase P class A
About the family: Ribonuclease P (RNase P) is a ubiquitous endoribonuclease, found in archaea, bacteria and eukarya as well as chloroplasts and mitochondria. Its best characterised activity is the generation of mature 5'-ends of tRNAs by cleaving the 5'-leader elements of precursor-tRNAs.
Source: RNAcentral
CGAGCGGGCUGGACAACCGCGGACCUGCUUGGCAGGGAUGAGGAAAGUCCGGGCUUCAGAGGGCAGGAUGCCAGCUAACGGCUGGGCGGGGCGACCCGACGGAAAGUGCCGCAGAAAAGAAGACUCCCACUAGCGCCUUGGCGCUAAGGAAAAGCUGAAACGGUGCGGUAAGAGCGCACCAGCGCGCUGGUAACAGCGUGGCUUGGAAAACCCCAUCCGAAGCAAGUGCAAAUAGGAACGCUAUGCGACGGCCCUUUCGCGCGUUCGGGUUGCAUGCUAGAGGCGCAUGGUGACGUGCGCAGUAGAUAAAUGGUUGUCUUAAACGACAGAACCCGGCUUACAGGCCCGCUCCAUCU